RNAcentral lists this transfer RNA (71 nucleotides) under Methanobacteriota archaeon. RNAcentral describes it as "Euryarchaeota archaeon tRNA-Gly". It matches the Rfam family "tRNA". From Rfam's summary of the family: Transfer RNA (tRNA) molecules are approximately 80 nucleotides in length. Their secondary structure includes four short double-helical elements and three loops (D, anti-codon, and T loops). RNAcentral also lists the same sequence under 1 other name. The record is from RNAcentral. Lineage: Archaea; Methanobacteriati; Methanobacteriota.
GCGUGGGUAGUCUAGCGGUAGGACGUUGGCCUUCCAAGCCUACGACGCGGGUUCAACUCCCGCCCCACGCA